Entelurus aequoreus (snake pipefish) is the source of this 631-nucleotide long non-coding RNA. RefSeq lists it as uncharacterized. The transcript is spliced from 3 exons. The record is from RefSeq and is a predicted model, not a curated record. NCBI's taxonomy places the organism in Eukaryota, Metazoa, Chordata, Actinopteri, Syngnathiformes, Syngnathidae.
CAUCCCACCUGUGUGUCACCUCAGACCUGUCCAGCAUGGAGGAGAGGUUGCAGAAGCGUGGCUACGUGAGGCUAACAGAGUUUGUAGCAGACAUGACCAAAAUCUUCGACAACUGCCGCUACUACAACCCCAGCGACUCGCCCUUCUACCAGUGUGCCGAGGUUCUGGAGAGUUUCUUUGUCCAGAAGCUCAAAGGCUUCAAAGCCAGCAGAUUGUGAUGUCAGACUCCUGGGUGCCAGGGUCACGCUCAAAACAAACAAAAAGAAAAUUCACAAUCCAGGAAGUAGUAUUUGUUGUUUGACCUUGUGUAAGGCUUGUUUGACCUUGUGUAAGGCAGCACUAAAAUCAUUUGUCUAUUGGAGGAUUGGCAGCCAUGUUGGUAACACCACAAGAAGGAACACCUCACCUCACCUCACCUUACCUCACCUCACCUCCUAGCCAAGAUGUUCUUGUAUAUAAUUCUUCUCCAAGCAGAUUGUCAUGUCAAACAUCUACAGUUUCACCAACAUGGCUGCUUGGUCUGACCCACUGGCAUCCAUUACGUGUCUUUUCUAUUUGUCCUAGUCAAUAUUUUUGUCAUAUUGUAAAGCUUUUAAUAAAAAAAAGGAAACAACCAACCCUUUUUCUUUUC